AAAGAACGGAUUGUAGGUCUGAUUGUGUUACGGAUAGUGCUGCUACCUGUAGUCAUGGUAACUUAUUUAGUACAGGUAGCCACUGGGAGCCACAUUGGCUCGGCCAGCUGUGAUGCCAUAUCUAUAGCUCUUGUAGGAGUUAAUGGAGAAAGUCCUAAACAUCUUCUGGGAGUAAUAUUUCCUGCUGGAUCUGUGAGUAUUGUCUUGUGGCUAUUAAAUAGAACAACCCCCCUCACCCCUCUUAAAAUCUGUCUAAGUGUGGUCUGUGCUGCAGUCUCAUGUGUUCUCAUGAAUUAAAAUAGUUACAUGAGGUAUAAGGGAAGGGAAAAUAUCAGCACUCUCAAAAAUGUGUUAAGUAGUUUAAAUACUGUGAAUGUGUAUGUACCUACAUCAGUCUACAGUAUAAUGGCUUUUUUUUCAUAAACCAUUCCUUUUUAAGGGACACUCUAAGCAUCACUUUACCUGUUACUAAUGUCAGUUUUGUCCAGUGGAGCAGUGCAGCUAAGGGGAAUGGGCCUUGACAUUGCUUGGAGACUGGCAUAGAAUAAGGGUAUGUGUGGAUUGGCUAUUGGGGCCCUCUGGCUUAAUCACCAUUUACCUGUUGUCAGUCCAUCCCUCCCUUUUCUCAGAGGCUAGCUACUGCUUGGUCAUGGCAGCAGGGAGAUGGAUAGAAAAGUUGUGGGUUGGGCAUAGGUAUGUUAGUUUUAGUUUGCUAAGAACAGUUGGGUUUGGACUGGUAUUGGUAGGUUCAAGCCUGUUGGUAGCUCCGAACCUGGUGUGUGUAGGGGGUGUCUUGGUAUACCCCUACACUGUGGAAGCUGGAAAAUCAUGCCCUUGGUGGUAAUGGUUUGUUAUAGUUUGUAUCAAUAACUGCCAUGUGGGUCAUAGUUAUGUUAAAGGUAUAGGGGUCAGUAGUGUAUUGUGUUGACCCUUACCUUAUAAUUUUACUUGUUAUGUUUCUAUAUCAAAGCUGUGAUAUUUUCUCCCAAUACAAGGUGUCUGAGUAUUUUUGGGGGUUAUGGGGUUACUUAAGCAAAUGCCAAUAGGGGACUACAUGUCUAGUGUAGGAGUUGGGGGUGUUUUUUUAUUUAUUUUUUUUUUAUUUUUUUUCAUGAAUGCAAAUGUUUGAUGCUGGCAUUAAAAACACACUUUAGGUGGCUGGUCACCCUUACUCUUGCUAACGCUCACCUUUAUACCUGAGCUGUGUGGGUCUGCCCUGGCUCAGAUCAAAAUUUACUGUCUCAGCCAGUCCAAUGAUUUCUUGAAUAAACUUGCAUGCCCAUCUAUGUUUUUAUUUUGUAUAUUUAAGAGUUUGCUGCUUUUAAAAAGAAAUGUUUAUUUCUGAUCAGGUGCAACAACAUGACAUUAACACACCAGCAGACCUGGGUCACAUAUUAUUUGUACGACUGUACAAGAAGCACGGUGUUAUUGAUAAUCCCUGG
Non-coding RNA from Pelobates cultripes (western spadefoot toad), 1442 nucleotides. Lineage: Eukaryota; Metazoa; Chordata; Amphibia; Anura; Pelobatidae. The record is from the annotation of a GenBank genome assembly.